AGAGUUUGAUCCUGGCUCAGGAUGAACGCUGGCGGCGUGCCUAACACAUGCAAGUCGAGCGAGAAGCUCAUGACGGACGCUUCGGUUGAAGUCACGAGUUGAAAGCGGCGGACGGGUGAGUAACGCGUAGGCAACCUGCCCUUUGCAGAGGGAUAGCCUCGGGAAACCGGGAUUAAAACCUCAUAAUACCGCAGUGAGACAUCUCACGGCGGUCAAAGAUUUAUCGGCAAAGGAUGGGCCUGCGUCUGAUUAGUUAGUUGGUGGGGUAACGGCCUACCAAGGCGACGAUCAGUAGCCGACCUGAGAGGGUGAUCGGCCACAUUGGAACUGAGACACGGUCCAAACUCCUACGGGAGGCAGCAGUGGGGAAUAUUGCACAAUGGGGGAAACCCUGAUGCAGCAACGCCGCGUGAAGGAUGAAGGCCUUUGGGUCGUAAACUUCUGUUCUAAGGGAAGAUAGUGACGGUACCUUAGGAGCAAGUCCCGGCUAACUACGUGCCAGCAGCCGCGGUAAUACGUAGGGGGCAAGCGUUAUCCGGAAUUAUUGGGCGUAAAGAGUACGUAGGUGGUUUUCUAAGCACGGGGUUUAAGGCAAUGGCUUAACCAUUGUUCGCCUUGUGAACUGGAAGACUUGAGUGCAGGAGAGGAGAGCGGAAUUCCUAGUGUAGCGGUGAAAUGCGUAGAUAUUAGGAGGAACACCAGUGGCGAAGGCGGCUUUCUGGACGACAACUGACGCUGAGGCGCGAAAGUGUGGGGAGCAAACAGGAUUAGAUACCCUGGUAGUCCACACCGUAAACGAUGGAUACUAGGUGUAGGAGGUAUCGACCCCUUCUGUGCCGCAGUUAACACAAUAAGUAUCCCACCUGGGGAGUACGACCGCAAGGUUGAAACUCAAAGGAAUUGACGGGGGCCCGCACAAGCAGUGGAGUAUGUGGUUUAAUUCGAAGCAACGCGAAGAACCUUACCUGGGCUUGACAUCCCUGGAAUCGAGUAGAGAUACUUGAGUGCCUUCGGGAAUCAGGUGACAGGUGGUGCAUGGUUGUCGUCAGCUCGUGUCGUGAGAUGUUGGGUUAAGUCCCGCAACGAGCGCAACCCCUAUUGUCAGUUGCCAUCAUUAAGUUGGGCACUCUGGCGAGACUGCCGGUGACAAAUCGGAGGAAGGUGGGGACGACGUCAAAUCAUCAUGCCCCUUAUGCCCAGGGCUACACACGUACUACAAUGGCCGAUAACAAAGUGCAGCGAAACCGUGAGGUGGAGCGAAUCACAAAACUCGGUCUCAGUUCAGAUUGCAGGCUGCAACUCGCCUGCAUGAAGUUGGAAUUGCUAGUAAUCGCGGAUCAGAAUGCCGCGGUGAAUACGUUCCCGGGCCUUGUACACACCGCCCGUCACACCAUGAGAGUCGAUAACACCCGAAGCCUGUGAGCUAACCUUUUAGGAGGCAGCAGUCGAAGGUGGGGUUGAUGAUUGGGGUGAAGUC
RNAcentral lists this ribosomal RNA (1477 nucleotides) under metagenome. RNAcentral's name for it is "bacterial SSU rRNA". It matches the Rfam family "Bacterial small subunit ribosomal RNA". The record is from RNAcentral.